GGAUCCAGACUUUGAUCAUGGCUCAGGAUAAACGCUGGCGGCGCACAUAAGACAUGCAAGUCGAACGGACUUAACCAUUAGUUUACUAUUGGAGCGGUUAGUGGCGGACUGGUGAGUAACACGUAAGCAACCUGCCUAUCAGAGGGGAACAACAGUUAGAAAUGACUGCUAAUACCGCAUAUGCCUUAGAAUCACAUGGUUCAAAAGGGAAAGGAGCAAUCCGCUGAUAGAUGGGCUUGCGUCUGAUUAGAUAGUUGGUGAGGUAACGGCCCACCAAGUCGACGAUCAGUAGCCGGACUGAGAGGUUGAACGGCCACAUUGGGACUGAGAUACGGCCCAGACUCCUACGGGAGGCAGCAGUCGGGAAUAUUGCGCAAUGGAGGAAACUCGGACGCAGUGACGCCGCGUGCAGGAAGAAGGUUUUCGGAUUGUAAACUGCUUUAGACAGGGAAAGAUACAAGACAGUACCUGUAGAAUAAGCUCCGGCUAACUACGUGCCAGCAGCCGCGGUAAUACGUAGGGAGCAAGCGUUAUCCGGAUUUAUUGGGUGUAAAGGGUGCGUAGACGGGAAAACAAGUUAGUUGUGAAAUCCCUCGGCUUAACUGAGGAACUGCAACUAAAACUAUUUUUCUUGAGUGCUGGAGAGGAAAGUGGAAUUCCUAGUGUAGCGGUGAAAUGCGUAGAUAUUAGGAGGAACACCAGUGGCGAAGGCGACUUUCUGGACAGUAACUGACGUUGAGGCACGAAAGUGUGGGGAGCAAACAGGAUUAGAUACCCUGGUGGUCCACACCGUAAACGAUGGAUACUAGGUGUAGGGGAUGAAUAAUCCUCUGUGCCGUCGCAAACGCAGUAAGUAUCCCACCUGGGGAGUACGGCCGCAAGGUUGCAA
This 889-nucleotide ribosomal RNA is filed under the name uncultured Bacillota bacterium. Its description in RNAcentral is "bacterial SSU rRNA". It matches the Rfam family "Bacterial small subunit ribosomal RNA", at positions 1 to 899 of the family's 1533-position model. The record is from RNAcentral. Lineage: Bacteria; Bacillati; Bacillota.